Molecule: non-coding RNA, 30 nt
Filed under: Mus musculus (house mouse)
Lineage: Eukaryota; Metazoa; Chordata; Mammalia; Rodentia; Muridae
Source: RNAcentral
UCACAGUGAAGACAGAGUUUUCUUACAGAC